GAUGAACGCUAGCGGCAGGCCUAAUACAUGCAAGUCGAGGGGUAGAAGAGGCUUGCUUCUUUGAGACCGGCGCACGGGUGCGUAACGCGUAUGCAACCUACCUUCAUCUGGGGGAUAGCCCGGAGAAAUCCGGAUUAAUACCGCAUAAAAUCACAGGAUAGCAUUAUCCAAUGAUCAAACAUUUAUGGGAUGGAGAUGGGCAUGCGUGUCAUUAGCUAGUUGGCGGGGUAACGGCCCACCAAGGCGACGAUGACUAGGGGAUCUGAGAGGAUGGCCCCCCACACUGGUACUGAGACACGGACCAGACUCCUACGGGAGGCAGCAGUAAGGAAUAUUGGUCAAUGGAGGCAACUCUGAACCAGCCAUGCCGCGUGCAGGAAGACUGCCCUAUGGGUUGUAAACUGCUUUUAUUCGGGAAUAAACCUUAUUACGUGUGACAAGCUGAAUGUACCGAAGGAAUAAGGAUCGGCUAACUCCGUGCCAGCAGCCGCCGUAA
Molecule: ribosomal RNA, 496 nt
Filed under: uncultured bacterium
Lineage: Bacteria
Description: partial 16S ribosomal RNA
Rfam family: Bacterial small subunit ribosomal RNA
Source: RNAcentral